Molecule: long non-coding RNA, 887 nt
Filed under: Marmota monax (woodchuck)
Lineage: Eukaryota; Metazoa; Chordata; Mammalia; Rodentia; Sciuridae
Source: RNAcentral
GAAAAAGUCACAAACAAAUUCUCCACAUUAAGAAUGACAUUGGACUUCUCAAAAGCAACACUGGAAGCCAGAAGAUGGAACGAUGCAUGAGCAAUGCCUCUAGAAUUUUGAUGGAAAAGAAAAUUUAUUAAAGAAUUAGAUUUCAAGCCAAUUCACCAAACGAGGCAAUGAUAAUAUAAAAGUAGUAUUUCUACUCAUGCAGUCUCAGAGUUUAUGUCAAAUAUAACCUGUCCUGAGAACUACCACAGAAUGUGUCACAGCAAAACAAUAAGCCAAAGAAGUACAGGAUCCAACCCAAGAGUGAUGCCAAAGAUGCCCUAGUAAUUGUACAGAGAAGUCUAGAUUGGAACAGCAAGACAAAGUGUUCUGGGAUACCAGCUUCAGGAAUUAUUAUUGGGAGACCGCCGGUAGGCAUAACCAUAGCAAGGUAAAUUUUUUCAUUGCUAUCAAGAAAAUUUGACUAUGGCUUUGUACCAAUAUGAAGAAAUAAAGCAAACAAGAAUACUAGGGGAUUAGCUCUUACAACUUAAAAACAAGUCAUGUAAAGAAGGAAAUGUAAUCCAGAAGGGAAACAAUACAAAUCUUUGUAAUAUAAUUGCUGGAAACUGAUUUAGCCAAAUAUUGAAAUGUAUGCAGAGAAUGGGGAGAAGAGAAAAUAUGGUUGAGGAGCAGAGUAUGUAGUAUAAGAGAACUAAAUCCUCAGUUUUCAUAGCACGACCUCAAUAAUGUCAGAAUGAAAAGAAAAUGUUUAUUUGAGAUACAGAUAUAAAUGUCAAAAGACACAGAUUUUAAAAAUAAAGAAAGUUAGUUGUGUCUGGGGAACUGAAAUAAGAAGUGCAUCAGAAGUGCAGAGGAAUUUUGUUGCUGCUGCUACUGCUGUUUUUGUU